CCUACGGGAGGCUGCAGUGGGGAAUAUUGGACAAUGGGCGAAAGCCUGAUCCAGCCAUGUCGCGUGUGUGAAGAAGGCCUUCGGGUUGUAAAGCACUUUCAGUGGGGAAGAAAGCCUUGGGGCUAAUACCCUCGAGGAAGGACAUCACCCACAGAAGAAGCACCGGCUAACUCCGUGCCAGCAGCCGCGGUAAUACGGAGGGUGCGAGCGUUAAUCGGAAUUACUGGGCGUAAAGCGCGCGUAGGCGGUCUGAUAAGCCGGUUGUGAAAGCCCCGGGCUCAACCUGGGAACGGCAUCCGGAACUGUCAGGCUAGAGUGCAGGAGAGGAAGGUAGAAUUCCCGGUGUAGCGGUGAAAUGCGUAGAGAUCGGGAGGAAUACCAGUGGCGAAGGCGGCCUUCUGGACUGACACUGACGCUGAGGUGCGAAAGCGUGGGUAGCAAACAGGAUUAGAUACCCCUGUAGUC
Molecule: ribosomal RNA, 465 nt
Filed under: Vreelandella stevensii
Lineage: Bacteria; Pseudomonadati; Pseudomonadota; Gammaproteobacteria; Oceanospirillales; Halomonadaceae
Description: partial 16S ribosomal RNA
Rfam family: Bacterial small subunit ribosomal RNA
Source: RNAcentral